Molecule: ribosomal RNA, 354 nt
Filed under: bacterium LimB-10-J-103
Lineage: Bacteria
Description: bacterial SSU rRNA
Rfam family: Bacterial small subunit ribosomal RNA
Source: RNAcentral
GGUCUGAGAGGAUGAUCAGUCACACUGGAACUGAGACACGGUCCAGACUCCUACGGGAGGCAGCAGUGGGGAAUAUUGGACAAUGGGCGAAAGCCUGAUCCAGCCAUGCCGCGUGUGUGAAGAAGGUCUUCGGAUUGUAAAGCACUUUAAGUUGGGAGGAAGGGCAGUAAGUUAAUACCUUGCUGUUUGACGUUACCAACAGAAUAAGCACCGGCUAACUUCGUGCCAGCAGCCGCGGUAAUACGAAGGGUGCAAGCGUUAAUCGGAAUUACUGGGCGUAAAGAGAGCGUAGGUGGUUCAGCAAGUUGGAUGUGAAAUCCCCGGGCUCAACCUGGGAACUGCAUCCAAAACUAC